UAAUACGAAGGUGGCAAGCGUUGUUCGGAUUUACUGGGCGUAAAGGGAGCGUAGGCGGUUUGGUAAGCCCUCCGGGAAAUCUUCGGGCUUAACCCGGAAAGGUCGGAGGGGACUGCCUGGCUAGAGGACGGGAGAGGAGCGCGGAAUUCCCGGUGUAGCGGUGAAAUGCGUAGAGAUCGGGAGGAAGGCCGGUGGCGAAGGCGGCGCUCUGGAACGUUCCUGACGCUGAGGCUCGAAAGCGUGGGGAGCAAACAGGAUUAGAUACCCUGGUAGUCCACGCCCUAAACGAUGGACACUAAGUGUCGGCGGGUUACCGCCGGUGCCGCAGCUAACGCAUUAAGUGUCCCGCCUGGGGAGUACGGCCGCAAGGUUGAAACUUAAAUGAAUUGACGG
RNAcentral lists this ribosomal RNA (393 nucleotides) under uncultured bacterium. RNAcentral's name for it is "bacterial SSU rRNA". It matches the Rfam family "Bacterial small subunit ribosomal RNA", at positions 521 to 916 of the family's 1533-position model. The record is from RNAcentral.